Molecule: non-coding RNA, 1051 nt
Organism: Drosophila melanogaster (fruit fly)
Lineage: Eukaryota; Metazoa; Arthropoda; Insecta; Diptera; Drosophilidae
Source: Ensembl
UUCGAAACUGAUUUUACAUCGAAACCAGUUAAAUUGUCAGAAAAAUCAACUGUCAACAUGUCAAAAAAUCGUUGACUAUGCAAAUGCACAACAUGGCUCGGAAAGUGGAAAAGCGGGUAGAAGAGGACUGGAAAGGUUGGAAAAUGCGUUACAUGACGAACAUGUGCGUGCAUAUAUCUCCUAGAUACGGAUCUAAAAUAGGGACAGAUAAAAUGUGAUUUCCCGAAAUGAAAUGUAUUUUCUCCGAUCCAAUUCGAUGGCACAUGCAUGCAUGCGGUGGCUUUGUUGCAGUUCCAUGGAGCAUGGCCCACACUUCAUCGCAUUCAUUUCGAUGUCAGAGCUCUCUAAUUGGCUGCCAUGACUACCUGGCUGGCUGGCUGGCCACUCAAAUUACCUAAUUAUAAAGCGAAAUAUGAAAUGUUCCCAAUCAACCAUUGUUCGACCACAAAAGCGGAAUCCCAGCUCAUGCAACUGUCAAGACAAUGGGACGUACUAUAGAUAGGGAUACACUCGCCAAGUCUCAAAACCCAUCCAACUUAUUCAAAUUGUGUGUGAGUGCGAGCUGUCAACAGUGUUUAAUUUCGGGGGUUCCCGUGCCACAUGCGAUGGAGUCCAGUUCCAAGACGGGGAAUCGACCUGGCCGAAACCGCAAUGCACUUUGACUAGCCGGAUUCACCAUAUUACCAUCCCUCGGAUCGGAUCCUGGUUAGCAACUCAACAAGCUAACAAAUUAACAUGCCGUCCAGCGAUGUACUGUCCUUUUGUUUUGGUCUUCGGCCAAACUUCUCGUCCCGUCGCCAGAAAUGUCACGCAAGGGGUCAAGUAACAAGCAAACAGAGUGACCAGGAUCCAGUAACCAGUAACGGUGCGAUGUCCUGCGGCGAUGUCCUUUUUGUCUGCAUGCAAAUGCAAGUGCAUAUGCACGAUGCGAUUGCUGUGCCUGCGGCUGCUUAAUGGCCACACCUGUUCAAUUAGUCAAUGUAACCACAAAUUCUGGUUAAAUUAUCGCAUUAAAAUGUUCGUGCCUGACCUCAGAAUGUGCGUGCGUGUU